Molecule: long non-coding RNA, 244 nt
Filed under: Bos taurus (domestic cattle)
Lineage: Eukaryota; Metazoa; Chordata; Mammalia; Artiodactyla; Bovidae
Description: long non-coding RNA NONBTAT027120
Source: RNAcentral
GCUUUGAGAUCUAUUUACCAGGAGUCACGCCAAACACAACCAAACAGAAACAUCACAGACAGACACAGCAAAGGGCUCCAGUCAGGUGGAUGCUCCCUGUGAUGCCAAAGGGAGAUGGGGCAGGGGUGUAGGAAGAGGUUCUCAGUGCUGGAACUUAAGCGAGAUUGCUUAAUGAUUCCUGCAAAGGGAGAUGGGGCUGCCGUUGGAUUUCCUUGUUCCAUUCUGUGGAGGUCGAGAGGCUUGA